Molecule: ribosomal RNA, 253 nt
Filed under: uncultured bacterium
Lineage: Bacteria
Description: partial 16S ribosomal RNA
Rfam family: Bacterial small subunit ribosomal RNA
Source: RNAcentral
UACAGAGGUCCCAAGCGUUGUUCGGAUUCACUGGGCGUAAAGGGUGCGUAGGCGGUCGGGUAAGUCUGACGUGAAAUCUUCAAGCUCAACUUGGAAACUGCGUCCGAUACUAUUCGGCUAGAGGAAUGCAGGGGAGACUGGAAUUCCUGGUGUAGCGGUGGAAUGCGCAGAUAUCAGGAGGAACACCGGUGGCGAAGGCGGGUCUCUGGGCAGUAACUGACGCUGAGGAGCGAAAGCGUGGGGAGCGAACAGG